GCCUUAGUGGCAGUGGUCUAAGAAGUAUUAUUGUAUCUCUAGCAUGUCAAAAUGAGGUUGAGAAUUCAAACCCAACCUGUGGUAGGUGUGUUUGACUCAAAGCUUAAUUGACUAGAAUUGACAGUUCCCUGGGGGAAAAGUUGGUGGGUAUCUACUGUUACUUUUAACUUUUUCAACCCAUAAAAAAUGGCCAUCAAGAUAUUACAAAUUGGGCUGAAAGUGGCAUUAUACACCAAAAUUCAAUCAAUCAAUCUUUUUUCACCAAUAUGUUCCUUUACUCUGCUUCUUGUGAAAUAAUUGUAAUUUGUUUAGCUAAAAGCACUGCAAAAAAAUAACAAAAAGUUGUAAAAAUAUCUAACAAUUCAGGAAACUCAAAAAACACAAUACAUUUUUUUUUUUUUUUUUUUUUUUUUUUUUUUUAGAUUCUCCAUUCUGAACUGACUGGAAGCCUUUGGACUAGACAGACCAUUAUUAAGUUUACAAGUAAAAUUGGUCUGUUUCAUUUCAUUUUCAAAGUAAAAAUGAAAUACAGUUACAGGGGGUGGGGAAUAACGAAUAAGAUCUAAAUUAUGAAACAGUCUCCAUAAGCACGAUAAGAAAAGUAAGAGUAAUUUUGAAAUUUUAAAUACAAGCUUCCAAUCUAGUUGAAAAUGGAGAAUCUUU
This 663-nucleotide long non-coding RNA is filed under the name Mytilus galloprovincialis (Mediterranean mussel). Lineage: Eukaryota; Metazoa; Mollusca; Bivalvia; Mytilida; Mytilidae. The record is from RNAcentral.